This 2340-nucleotide long non-coding RNA is filed under the name Sus scrofa (pig). RNAcentral describes it as "lncRNA (ENSSSCG00030020277.1)". The record is from RNAcentral. Lineage: Eukaryota; Metazoa; Chordata; Mammalia; Artiodactyla; Suidae.
AAUACUUUAUUGCUAAAAAAUGCUAACCAUUCUCUAAGUCUUCAUUUUGUGAGUUAUAAUUUUUUUGUAAUAGUAACAUCAAAGAUCACAAUCACCAUGAUAAAUAAUAAUGAAAAAGUUUGACAUAUUGCUGAAAUUACUACACUGUGACACAGACAUUAAGAGAGCAGAUGCUGUUAGAAAAACAGGGCUGAAAGACUUGUAAUGGGCACAGGAUUGACACAAACAUUCAAUUUGUAAACAAAGCAAAAACCGCAGUAUUUGCAAAAUGCAAUGAUAUGAGGUAUGCCUAUAAAUUAACAUUUUACUUACAUUAUUAAGCUAUUAUUUCUCAGUAGUUUACAUUAGGUUCAAAAGCUUUUCAGGAGUGGGAGGCAUCGGGAGCUUGGGCCUAUCAGACACAACUUGGAAUAGAUUUACAAGGAGAUCCUGCUGAGUAGCAUUGAGAACUUUGUCUAGAUACUCAUGUUGCAACAGAACAAAGGGUGGGGGAAAAAAAUGUAAUUGUAAUGUAUACAUGUAAGGAUAACUUGAUCCCCUUGCUGUACAGUGGGAAAAUUAAAAAAUAAAAAUUAAAAAAAAAACAAUUUUUCAAAAAGUUAAAAAGCAUAAAGAUUUUAAUUUUAACCUACAGACGGCCACAGCCAGGACGCAUGAGCACAAGUCCCUGUACACCUCUUCUCCAUGGCUCCUGGCCUGCUUCAGGGCUGUGGCUACAGAAGACACCCCAGAGGCAUGGCUUCAGAACACACGUACUACGAGUAAAUCUUUUCUCCAAAUGGGAACUCGGCUCUGUUUUCUAAGGUAUCAGCCUAAAACUCUGUAGGACUGAGGAACAAGCACUUAAAUAUUUCCUACCUAGGAUAAGACACCAAAUAGUAAUAGUCAGUCUGAGAAAUGCUUCAUACCUGAGGGAAGUCCUAUGCUUUUUAGAACCAAAAAGCUAAAGAGGCCUGACAAUUCAAUGUAGCAAGUUUAGAGGAGGAAACAGAUGCAGCAUCAACACUCCCACGAAGUACAAUUAGCACCAGAAUAGAAUUUUUCUUCAUGUAAUCUCUUUCCUGCUCCCUCUCCUACCUCUUCACCUCUUUCCCCCUUGCUACAACUGUGGUACUAUAAAUACCCUUCCCACUCUGGUAAUAAUCUAAAGCUUUUAUCUACUUUCCUCUCUACCUCUAUCCAGCCUUAGAGAUUAAUUUAUGUCAGAUUUCUCUCUACAAAAAUGCCAGCUGGCAAGCCAAUAUGGGAUAUUUCCUUAACAUAUUACCUAUUUCUCAAUAUCUAAUGUAUAAAGUGGCUGAGCUAAGAGAAGUAUUUUUCCAGUCUUGGAUUAUUCUUCUCUAAGCUCUAGACAUAUCACUAAGAAAAAACUUUUAUUUUUAGCAUCUAAAUUUAGAUAAAAUGCAUAAAACAAAGCACAACAUUUUGGUUUAUUUGCAAAAGACGGUGCAAAUAAAACUAUGAGACUCUCCCCAGGGUACUUGGCCAUAGAGAAUUACAACUAUUUCUUGGAAAAUGGGUACGUUUGGCCAUUUAUAAGAGUCCUAAUCUUAGAAUUGGGAGCUAUGGGUUCAAGUCGUUAAGUGUGCAAAUAAUAAUACUGCAUGUCUUUAUAAAAAUAACUCAUCUUUGCAUCUUACUUUACAGUUUUUAACAUACUUUCCUCUUAAAAUAAUCAUGACCAGUAACAACCCUGUGGAGCAAUCAUCACUGUUACUUUAUAGAGAAACAGACUCAAGUCCACAGGGCAAGAUGUACCAGAGUUAAGGACUAAAACAUAGAAAUCUUUUUAAUGUACUGGCUUUUUCAGCCAUUCAGUGCCAAACUAUGACACAGGGGAUGUAGAACAGUUCCCAAAGAGCAAAAAAACGAUGAGUUUAGUGAGUUUACCACCAAAGUUUGCCACUCAUAGCAGUGCAAGUCCCCAAACUCUGAAGUGAUUAAAAAAAAAAAAGUCUAAGCUCAAAUACCAUUUGAUAUCACUUAUAUCUGGAAUCUAACAUAUGGCACAAAUGAACCUUUCCACAGAAAAGAAAAUCAUGGACAUGGAGAACAAACUUGUGGUUGCCAAGGGGUCAGGGGAGGGAGUGGGAUGGACUGGGAGUCUGGGGUUAACGGAUGUAAACUACUGCAUUUGGAGUGGAUAAGCAAUGACAUCCUGCUGUAUAGCACAGGGAACUAUAUCUAGUCACUUGUGAUGGAACAUGAUGGAGGAUAAUGGGAGAAAAAGAACGUCUGUGUUCGUGUGCGCGUGCAUGCACGCGACUAGGUCACUUUUGCUGUAUAACAGAAAACUGACAGAACACUGUAAACCAACUAUAAUGGAAAAAAUAAAAAUCA